Molecule: ribosomal RNA, 275 nt
Filed under: uncultured bacterium
Lineage: Bacteria
Description: partial 16S ribosomal RNA
Rfam family: Bacterial small subunit ribosomal RNA
Source: RNAcentral
AUACGUAGGGGCCAAACGUUGUCCGGAUUUAUUGGGCGUAAAGGGCUCGUAGGCGGUUCAACAAGUCGGUCGUGAAAUGCCGGGGCUCAACCCCGGAACGCCGGUCGAAACUGUUGUGACUAGGGUCCGGUAGAGGUGAGUGGAAUUCUCGGUGUAGCGGUGGAAUGCGCAGAUAUCGAGAGGAACACCAGUUGCGAAGGCGGCUCACUGGGCCGGUACCGACGCUGAGGAGCGAAAGCAUGGGGAGCAAACAGGAUUAGAAACCCCGGUAGUCC